Anas platyrhynchos (mallard) is the source of this 1739-nucleotide non-coding RNA. Lineage: Eukaryota; Metazoa; Chordata; Aves; Anseriformes; Anatidae. The record is from RefSeq and is a predicted model, not a curated record.
CCGGGCCGACCUGCUGCAGGUUUCCCGCAGAAGGGGCCGGCAGGUCCCUAAUUUCGGCCACAUGUUGAGGGAGAGGAAGAGGGAGCGGGGCCGAGGAGGGGGGGGGUUGGAGGCGCGCUGAUGAAAAGAGCAGCUCCACAAGUGAAGCACAUUACCAGCCCGGAGUGGAAAGGGCCGGAAGGAAAACCCACCCACCUCACCCCGCGUUUCUUCUAUCAACCUGCAAUUGAGGCAAUCAAAACCAGCUGUCGGCUCUUCCAGAUCUUUCUCGCAGGACAAACACGCCAAAGGGCCCGGGGCCCGGCGUUGCCAGCAGCUGGUAAUUGAGACCAGAUGAGCCCCGGGAACGGCAAAGCACAUGCGAGGCGAGCCCCGGCCCCGGGAGAGACACACGCGGAGACGGGAACGCACCAGAGUCUGCCCAAAUUUUCCUCUUAAAUCUCAAGCAAGCGAAGGGUUCACCACCAUCCUUGGCCAACAUCGACCUUGCCCACCACGAUCCCAUAUCUUGGGGCUGACAACCAUGAAGUGGAUGUGAUCCAUGUGCCCAAAGAGCUCUGAGAACCCCCUCGGUUUGGGGUGCCAUCAGCUUCAGGUGCUGAGCCACAAGAAAAACCAGGAGGAGAAGAGAACCGUUUGCUUUGUGUGUCAGCGGAGAUGUCAGUCCCCAUUAAUAAAUCUAUCCGCUAAAUCUACUCUUAUUCAUGGGGGACAUCACCAAGUUAAAGUAAAAUAAAUUAUCUUUAAUUAAAUGGAAUUGUCGUCUUCCUCCUGCUAUCAUCCCCAAUUAUUACAUCCUAAUCAGCCCUUUUGGGAGAAGGCACGAGGGAAGGCUGAAAGGCACAUUUACUCUAAACAAUUUCUCUCUCUGUCAAGAGAUGGAAGUUUUAUUUUAAUUAUUGUUUAGGGCUCCGAUUUUUACCCUUUUUUUUUUUGAUGAAAGGGAUUAAAGUUUAAAACUGCCGUCAUUCGAAGCAAGGAAGAAAUCUGCUGGUGUCAGAGCAAUUUCCUCUUCGGCCCUCCUACGAUUUGAAGCCCAGAGCGAGAUGUGCGAAUCCUUUGGGUCGACUCCUUUAGGAUGAGAUCCAGUGGGGGAUUUCCAUUCAAAAAAAUAAAUAUUCUGGCUGCAGACGGGAGGUGAGGGCACUCAGAGGGCUACGAAACCCUCCUGGGAGCAGAGCACUGCCACGGGGUGAGCGCCCAGGAGGCUGAAGGUGCCUGGAGGAUGUGUUGAAGUCUCCGGGGCUGUCCUGGAGAAGGUCGGCUUGCCCGUGCUGGAAAAGGCUGCUCUUUUUCAAACAACGACAAUUUAACCCCAUAUAUUUCCCGGGACGCGUUAUCACCACCACCUGCACGGUGAACGCCGCGUCAACUGGCCAGAAAGCUCCUGGCACCAAAAAACCCCUCAGCCAAAAUUUACCGAGGACGCACCAAACGUCCUACAAAGCUCUGCCCGUCCAAAAUCAGCAGGAGCUGCACUUUAAUAUUAAUCUCCAGGCCCUGUGUAGAUUUAAAAACGCAUUUCUCCCCCUGCCAACGCUUGCUUGUUGGCCGUGAAGCACCCAAAUGCACCCUGAGCACCCCCUGCCCAGUCACAGGACGAGAUAAAUUUCGGCUAACAACAAAAAGGGGAAAGCAGAGAUUGUGACAAGGGCUGGAAAAAGGGAAGAAGCGCUCCGUUCCCAUUAAUUAACGCAACCUUUUUAUAUAUAUAUAUAAAAAAAAAAAAAAAAAAAAAA